AUCCUACGGGGCGCAGCAGUAGGGAAUCUUCCACAAUGGACGAAAGUCUGAUGGAGCAACGCCGCGUGAGUGAAGAAGGGUUUCGGCUCGUAAAGCUCUGUUGGUAGUGAAGAAAGAUAGAGGUAGUAACUGGCCUUUAUUUGACGGUAAUUACUUAGAAAGUCACGGCUAACUACGUGCCAGCAGCCGCGGUAAUACGUAGGUGGCAAGCGUUGUCCGGAUUUAUUGGGCGUAAAGCGAGUGCAGGCGGGUCCACUAAUUUUGUUUGGAAACCCUUGGCUCCAACGG
RNAcentral lists this ribosomal RNA (288 nucleotides) under uncultured bacterium. Its description in RNAcentral is "partial 16S ribosomal RNA". It matches the Rfam family "Bacterial small subunit ribosomal RNA", at positions 335 to 619 of the family's 1533-position model. The record is from RNAcentral.